RNAcentral lists this ribosomal RNA (253 nucleotides) under uncultured bacterium. RNAcentral's name for it is "partial 16S ribosomal RNA". It matches the Rfam family "Bacterial small subunit ribosomal RNA", at positions 524 to 776 of the family's 1533-position model. The record is from RNAcentral.
UACGGGGGGGGCAAGCGUUGUUCGGAAUUACUGGGCGUAAAGGGCUCGUAGGUGGCCAACUAAGUCGGACGUGAAAUCCCUCGGCUUAACCGGGGAACUGCGUCUGAUACUGGAUGGCUUGAGUUCGGGAGAGGGAUGCGGAAUUCCAGGUGUAGCGGUGAAAUGCGUAGAUAUCUGGAGGAACACCGGUGGCGAAGGCGGCACUCUGGGCCGGAACUGACGCUGAGGAGCGAAAGCGUGGGGAGCGAACAGG